Molecule: long non-coding RNA, 718 nt
Organism: Bos taurus (domestic cattle)
Lineage: Eukaryota; Metazoa; Chordata; Mammalia; Artiodactyla; Bovidae
Source: Ensembl
GACCUGCAGUCUUCAAAAUGCCAGUGUCACAGGAGACAAAAUAUUAAAAGGCUGGGGAACUGUUCCAGAUUAGGGUAGACUAAAGAGACAUGAUAACUGUAAUGCAUGAUUCAUGAUUAGACCUUGGGCUGGAAAAACACUAUAAAGGACAUUAUUGGCACAAUUGAUAAAAUUUUGAUUCUGGGCUAUGUUUGCAUGCUGCUGCUGCUGCUAAGUCGCUUCAGUCGUGUCCGACUCUGUGCAACCCCAUAGACGGCAGCCCACCAGGCUCCCCCGUCCCUGGGAUUCUCCAGGCAAGAACACUGGAGUGGGUUGCCAUUUCCUUCUCCAAUGCAUGAAAGUGGAAAGUGAAAGUGAAGUUGCUCAGUCAUGUCAGACCCUCAGCGACCCCAUGGACUGCAGCCUACCAGGCUCCUCCGUCCAUGGGAUUUUCCAGCCCAUCAGGCUCCUCUGUCCAUGCGAUUCUCCAAGCAAGAAUACUGGAGCAGGUUGCCAUGCCCUCCUCCAGGGGAUCUUCCCAACCCAAGGAUUGAACCCUCAUCUCUUACAUCUCUCCUGCAUUGGCAGCCAAAAGACUCAGAGAAGAUCACUUACAGCAUUUUAGAACCAACAAUCCACUUGGUCAUUCCUCAAGGCUCCAAAAAAUAGACCUUUGAACAAUGACAGCUGGAAGAUCCUGAGGCAUCAGACACGGCUAAUAGAGGAUUCUCCUCCUGUU